This 406-nucleotide ribosomal RNA is filed under the name uncultured bacterium. Its description in RNAcentral is "partial 16S ribosomal RNA". It matches the Rfam family "Bacterial small subunit ribosomal RNA", at positions 30 to 526 of the family's 1533-position model. The record is from RNAcentral.
AUUGAACGCUGGCGGCAGGCCUAACACAUGCAAGUCGAACGAGUGGCGGACGGGUGAGUAAUGUCUGGGAAACUGCCCGAUGGAGGGGGAUAACUCCUGGAAACGGUAGCUAUUACCGCAUACCAUCGGAUGUGCCCCGAUGGGAUUAGCUUGUAGGUGAGGUAACGGCUCACCUAGGCGACGCUCCCUAGCUGGUCUGAGAGGAGGAACAGUCAGACUGUAACUGAGACACGGUCCAGACGCCUACGGGAGGCAGCAGUGGGGAAUAUGGCACAAUGGGCGCAAGCCUGAUGCAGCCAUGCCGCGGGUAUGAAGAAGGCCUUCGGGUUGUAAAGUACUUUCAGCGAGGAGGCGUUACCCGCAGAAGAAGCACCGGCUAACUCCGUGCCAGCAGCCGCGGUAAUAC